Molecule: long non-coding RNA, 273 nt
Filed under: dengue virus type 1
Lineage: Riboviria; Orthornavirae; Kitrinoviricota; Flasuviricetes; Amarillovirales; Flaviviridae
Description: dengue virus type I sfRNA3
Rfam family: Flavivirus 3' UTR cis-acting replication element (CRE) (bases 181-273)
Source: RNAcentral
ACCCGGGAGGCUGCAACCCAUGGAAGCUGUACGCAUGGGGUAGCAGACUAGUGGUUAGAGGAGACCCCUCCCAAGAUACAACGCAGCAGCGGGGCCCAACACCAGGGGAAGCUGUACCCUGGUGGUAAGGACUAGAGGUUAGAGGAGACCCCCCGCACAACAAUAAACAGCAUAUUGACGCUGGGAGAGACCAGAGAUCCUGCUGUCUCCACAGCAUCAUUCCAGGCACAGAACGCCAGAAAAUGGAAUGGUGCUGUUGAAUCAACAGGUUCU